RNAcentral lists this ribosomal RNA (797 nucleotides) under uncultured bacterium. RNAcentral describes it as "bacterial SSU rRNA". It matches the Rfam family "Bacterial small subunit ribosomal RNA", at positions 8 to 796 of the family's 1533-position model. The record is from RNAcentral.
AGAGUUUGAUCCUGGCUCAGAUUGAACGCUGGCGGCAUGCUUUACACAUGCAAGUCGAACGGCAGCAUGGGUGCUUGCACCUGAUGGCGAGUGGCGAACGGGUGAGUAAUGUAUCGGAACAUAUCCGCAAGUGGGGGAUAACGUAGCGAAAGUUACGCUAAUACCGCAUAUUCCCUGAGGGGGAAAGGAGGGGAUCCGCAAGGACCUUUCGCUUACGGAGUGGCCGAUAUCAGAUUAGCUAGUUGGUGAGGUAAAGGCUCACCAAGGCGACGAUCUGUAGCGGGUCUGAGAGGAUGAUCCGCCACACUGGGACUGAGACACGGCCCAGACUCCUACGGGAGGCAGCAGUGGGGAAUUUUGGACAAUGGGCGCAAGCCUGAUCCAGCCAUGCCGCGUGAGUGAAGAAGGCCUUCGGGUUGUAAAGCUCUUUCAGCUGGAAAAAAAUCGUACUUAUUAAUACUGAGUAUGGAUGAUGGUACCAGCAGAAGAAGCACCGGCUAACUACGUGCCAGCAGCCGCGGUAAUACGUAGGGUGCGAGCGUUAAUCGGAAUUACUGGGCGUAAAGCGUGCGCAGGCGGUUUUGUAAGACAGACGUGAAAUCCCCGGGCUUAACCUGGGAACUGCGUUUGUGACUGCAAGGCUAGAGUAUGGCAGAGGGGGGUAGAAUUCCACGUGUAGCAGUGAAAUGCGUAGAUAUGUGGAGGAAUACCGAUGGCGAAGGCAGCCCCCUGGGUCAAUACUGACGCUCAUGCACGAAAGCGUGGGUAGCAAACAGGAUUAGAUACCCUGGUAGUCC